Molecule: ribosomal RNA, 2908 nt
Filed under: Yersinia pestis D182038
Lineage: Bacteria; Pseudomonadati; Pseudomonadota; Gammaproteobacteria; Enterobacterales; Yersiniaceae
Description: bacterial LSU rRNA
Rfam family: Bacterial large subunit ribosomal RNA
Source: RNAcentral
GGUUAAGCGACUAAGCGUACACGGUGGAUGCCUAGGCAGUCAGAGGCGAUGAAGGGCGUGCUAAUCUGCGAAAAGCGUCGGUAAGCUGAUAUGAAGCGUUAUAACCGACGAUACCCGAAUGGGGAAACCCAGUGCAAUACGUUGCACUAUCGUUAGAUGAAUACAUAGUCUAACGAGGCGAACCGGGGGAACUGAAACAUCUAAGUACCCCGAGGAAAAGAAAUCAACCGAGAUUCCCCCAGUAGCGGCGAGCGAACGGGGAGGAGCCCAGAGUCUGAAUCAGUUUGUGUGUUAGUGGAAGCGUCUGGAAAGUCGCACGGUACAGGGUGAUAGUCCCGUACACCAAAAUGCACAGGCUGUGAACUCGAUGAGUAGGGCGGGACACGUGACAUCCUGUCUGAAUAUGGGGGGACCAUCCUCCAAGGCUAAAUACUCCUGACUGACCGAUAGUGAACCAGUACCGUGAGGGAAAGGCGAAAAGAACCCCGGCGAGGGGAGUGAAAUAGAACCUGAAACCGUGUACGUACAAGCAGUGGGAGCACCUUCGUGGUGUGACUGCGUACCUUUUGUAUAAUGGGUCAGCGACUUAUAUUUUGUAGCAAGGUUAACCGAAUAGGGGAGCCGUAGGGAAACCGAGUCUUAACUGGGCGUCUAGUUGCAAGGUAUAGACCCGAAACCCGGUGAUCUAGCCAUGGGCAGGUUGAAGGUUGGGUAACACUAACUGGAGGACCGAACCGACUAAUGUUGAAAAAUUAGCGGAUGACUUGUGGCUGGGGGUGAAAGGCCAAUCAAACCGGGAGAUAGCUGGUUCUCCCCGAAAGCUAUUUAGGUAGCGCCUCGUGAACUCAUCUUCGGGGGUAGAGCACUGUUUCGGCUAGGGGGCCAUCCCGGCUUACCAAACCGAUGCAAACUCCGAAUACCGAAGAAUGUUAUCACGGGAGACACACGGCGGGUGCUAACGUCCGUCGUGAAGAGGGAAACAACCCAGACCGCCAGCUAAGGUCCCAAAGUCAUGGUUAAGUGGGAAACGAUGUGGGAAGGCACAGACAGCCAGGAUGUUGGCUUAGAAGCAGCCAUCAUUUAAAGAAAGCGUAAUAGCUCACUGGUCGAGUCGGCCUGCGCGGAAGAUGUAACGGGGCUAAACCAUGCACCGAAGCUGCGGCAGCGACACUUAGGUGUUGUUGGGUAGGGGAGCGUUCUGUAAGCCGUUGAAGGUGACCUGUGAGGGUUGCUGGAGGUAUCAGAAGUGCGAAUGCUGUACAUAAGUAACGAUAAUGCGGGUGAAAAACCCGCACGCCGGAAGACCAAGGGUUCCUGUCCAACGUUAAUCGGGGCAGGGUGAGUCGACCCCUAAGGCGAGGCUGAAAAGCGUAGUCGAUGGGAAACAGGUUAAUAUUCCUGUACUUGGUGUUACUGCGAAGGGGGGACGGAGAAGGCUAGGCUGGCCGGGCGACGGUUGUCCCGGUUUAAGCGUGUAGGGGGAGUGACCAGGUAAAUCCGGUUGCUUAUCAACCCUGAGGCGUGAUGACGAUGCACCACGGUGCAGAAGCAGUUGAUGCCAUGCUUCCAGGAAAAGCCUCUAAGCAUCAGGUAACAUUAAAUCGUACCCCAAACCGACACAGGUGGUCAGGUAGAGAAUACUCAGGCGCUUGAGAGAACUCGGGUGAAGGAACUAGGCAAAAUGGUGCCGUAACUUCGGGAGAAGGCACGCUGGCGUUAGGUGAAAGGACUAGCUCCUGGAGCUGAAGCCAGUCGCAGAUACCAGCUGGCUGCAACUGUUUAAUAAAAACACAGCACUGUGCAAACACGAAAGUGGACGUAUACAGUGUGACGCCUGCCCGGUGCUGGAAGGUUAAUUGAUGGGGUCAGCCGCAAGGCGAAGCUCUUGAUCGAAGCCCCAGUAAACGGCGGCCGUAACUAUAACGGUCCUAAGGUAGCGAAAUUCCUUGUCGGGUAAGUUCCGACCUGCACGAAUGGCGUAAUGAUGGCCAGGCUGUCUCCACCCGAGACUCAGUGAAAUUGAACUCGCUGUGAAGAUGCAGUGUACCCGCGGCAAGACGGAAAGACCCCGUGAACCUUUACUAUAGCUUGACACUGAACAUUGAGCCUUGAUGUGUAGGAUAGGUGGGAGGCCUUGAAGUGUGGACGCCAGUCUGCAUGGAGCCAACCUUGAAAUACCACCCUUUAAUGUUUGAUGUUCUAACUCGGCCCCAUGAUCUGGGGUGAGGACAGUGUCUGGUGGGUAGUUUGACUGGGGCGGUCUCCUCCCAAAGAGUAACGGAGGAGCACGAAGGUUAGCUAAUCACGGUCGGACAUCGUGAGGUUAGUGCAAAGGCAUAAGCUAGCUUGACUGCGAGAGUGACGGCUCGAGCAGGUACGAAAGUAGGUCUUAGUGAUCCGGUGGUUCUGAAUGGAAGGGCCAUCGCUCAACGGAUAAAAGGUACUCCGGGGAUAACAGGCUGAUACCGCCCAAGAGUUCAUAUCGACGGCGGUGUUUGGCACCUCGAUGUCGGCUCAUCACAUCCUGGGGCUGAAGUAGGUCCCAAGGGUAUGGCUGUUCGCCAUUUAAAGUGGUACGCGAGCUGGGUUUAGAACGUCGUGAGACAGUUCGGUCCCUAUCUGCCGUGGGCGUUGGAAGAUUGAGAGGGGCUGCUCCUAGUACGAGAGGACCGGAGUGGACGAAUCACUGGUGUUCGGGUUGUCAUGCCAAUGGCAUUGCCCGGUAGCUAAAUUCGGAAGAGAUAACCGCUGAAAGCAUCUAAGCGGGAAACUUGCCUCGAGAUGAGUCUUCCCUGGGGCUUAAAGCCCCCUGAAGGAACGUUAAAGACUAUGACGUUGAUAGGCUGGGUGUGUAAGUGCAGCGAUGUAUUGAGCUAACCAGUACUAAUGAUCCGUGAGGCUUAACCUU